UGUGUAAACAGCACCUUUAAACAGUAUGGAAUAUUUAGCAAAAUCUAGUUUAGAACAGUUGACUGGAGUAAAUAGCUACAUUUACACUAGUGAGUCUACACUUUUGAUCGGUAGUAUGUCUUGAGUAUCUAACUGUAACCUCUAUAUAUUUCUGUGUUUAUGUUUUGCUCUUUGUGAUGAAAAGUGAAUUUUUCUGCUAGCCCUUAAUUUCUUAUAAAUAUGUAAAAAUACCAACUAUAAGAAAGAAGUUGUUCACAACAUUGAUUAUUGAAAAGAUCCAUGAAGGAUUUUAUAUUCAAAACUUGUGAUGUUUCUAGCUUUCUCUAUGUUUCUAAUUUACAGUAAACAUAAACUCGUUGUGAAAUGCCCUAACACUAAGUUUAAAUUAUUACCUGUAUGAUACUUUUGUGUAUAAACUUUAUACAUACUUGACACUAAAUAGCUGUAAUUGUUUGAAAAUGUGACCUCCUGUGUGUGAUAUGUUUACGUAUUUAAUCUGUAAAUAUUUACCUUGUUUUCAAAAACAAUAUUUUGCUAUGACCAAUGACUAGUCACUAUAAUGGGUAUUAUUGCAUGUGUUUUUGUCCGUGUUGUUGAGAGGAGAAAGUUUUGUGAUGUUCAUUGUUUUACAAUGGAUUGUUGACUCUGUUGCAGCAUAUCAGAAGGUAGUAGGACAUUUAAUCAAAAUAUAUAUAGCACUAAAUCCACCUACACUAUGGCUUGUUCAUAUAACCACUAAUCCCCACCAUCUGUAUCCACUUAGUAAGUUGAUCAAUGCUUAUACUGUUGAUCAGUGGAUUGUCUGGUCCAGACUUGAAUAUUUACAGACCACCACCAUAUAGCUGGAAUAUUGCUAAGUGUGACAUUAACCAACAAACACAAAAACAUACCAGGCUGUAUUGGUUAAUAUAUAUGAGUUUGUGUCACCUCAGCCAUCCUAAGUGAAUAGAUAAUGCGUUUAUUUCGGCAUAUAUAAGUUCAGGACAAAAGCAAAAAACUUUCAAAUUCAAGAUCUUGUUGAGAGAAACAAUCCAUAGUGAGUAAUUCCUUGCUUCAACAUUUUAUGAUUCCACCAUAUGUUCCAUCAUGGCUGUGGUUGCCUUGACAACAUGAAACAUCAAUAACCCUAAUAUUGGAUACAUACAGUAAUUGUUUACACAGUACAUCCAUACUUGGCUUAAAUAUCUGUUGUACUUUGAUGUAUCAUAUUUUCACAUCCUAAAAGGGAACUAUUACUCAUAAUGAUUUUUUUUACCAUUAUAUGUCUUAGAAUUACUCCAAGUGUGUUCUUAAAUCAGUAUCUCCUAGUUUAUAUACCAUGCCCUAGGUUCCUCCAGAACUCCUAAACAGCUUCUUUAACAGUGUUGACAAUCGGUCACAUUAUGUAGGUAACUUCAUUAAAGGAGAUGAAGAGACACUCGCCAUACUGGCAAAAUAUUAUGUCAAACGUUAAAUUAUCAUACAAGUCAAGGUUGUGGGUUAUCCUGAAGUUUCAGCUUGCAAAGAGAAGACAUAUUCCUGUCAUGGUUAAAUACUCCAAGGAAUUUGUUGGAGAAAGUCAGUGAUGAACAUUUAUGGAAAAGACUUCUUGGUAGAAUUGUUUCUGGAUUUUGUUGGUGGUGCAUUUGACAAUGUGUUCUUCUGGCAUAUGUUGGUGGGAAGAGCGUAUUGGAACUGGCUCUUGGUAUUCUGAUGUAAAGCAAUAUUGUCAACUACAGAUUCAUGUUGUCUAUGUGAAACUUUAUAAACUUGGAAACACCUUCCAGUAGUAUCAUUCACUUUGGACUUACCAUAAUCUGUCAUUUCCCCCAAGCGGGACAAUUUGUUUUCCCAAUAACAGGACAAUUUGUUUUCCCCAAACGGGACAAUUUGUUUUCCCAAUAACGGGACAAUUUGUUUUCCCAACAACAGGGCAAUUUGUUUUCCCAAGAACGGGACAAUUUGUUUUCCCAAUAACAGGACAAUUUGUUUUCCCAAUAACGGAACAAUGUGCUUUCCCAAUAAUGGGACAAAUAUUUUUCAAUAACGGGACAAUUUGCUUUCCCUCCAACAACGAAGCAGGCUGGAGGUGGUCACAUGUUCUCGUUUGAACUUACGAGAACUACUUCCAUUCCCGUUACCAUUUGCCUUGAAUGGUAUGCUGCAUUUUUCAUACAGCUCUUUUAUCGCUGGUAGUUUCUCAUUUUGUGAAAUAAUUGUCGAACAUGUUAAUGAAACUGAAGAUACAAGCGUGUGUGUAGGUGCUAUAGUUUAACUCACAAGGUCAAGGUCACUAAGACCUGCAUCAGGUUGAGAAGGAAUGAUGAUAUUUAACUCAAUGUACCUAGCUUUACGAAUUAUUGUUAAAACUGAAAUAUUAUUAAAGCGUCUUUUCAUGUUUCAA
This is a long non-coding RNA of Haliotis rubra (blacklip abalone), 2383 nucleotides long. RefSeq lists it as uncharacterized. The record is from RefSeq and is a predicted model, not a curated record. The transcript has 2 exons. NCBI's taxonomy places the organism in Eukaryota, Metazoa, Mollusca, Gastropoda, Lepetellida, Haliotidae.